CGCGCGUCUGCCGUUGUCACAGGCCAGGGAGGUGGCACCACCAGGCGAAGCUUGGCGAGAUUGUGUCGUCAAGCGCGUACGGGCGCCAAUUGGCCGGGCGAUGUGGCGUGGACUGGCGCUGGCGAGAGCGAUUGGCUGCGCGGCCCGGGGGUGGGGCCAGUGGGCGGUGCGCGCCGCGGACUGUGCUCAAAGCGGGCGCUCUGCGGGACCGGCGGGUGUCUGUGGCCGGAGGCUGAUCAGGAUUAUUGCAUCGAGCUUUUAGCGUCUUCUUAUUCAACACCGAAAAUAAGCUUCUGCUACAGCAAAGAUCAGAUGCUAAGAUUACCUUUCCAGGUUGUUUUACGAAUACAUGUUGUAGUCAUCCAUUAAGCAAUCCAGCCGAGCUUGAGGAAAGUGACGCCCUUGGAGUGAGGCGAGCAGCACAGAGACGGCUGAAAGCUGAGCUAGGAAUUCCCUUGGAAGAGGUUCCUCCAGAAGAAAUUAAUUAUUUAACACGAAUUCACUACAAAGCUCAGUCUGAUGGUAUCUGGGGUGAACAUGAAAUUGAUUACAUUUUGUUGGUGAGGAAGAAUGUAACUUUGAAUCCAGAUCCCAAUGAGAUUAAAAGCUAUUGUUAUGUGUCAAAGGAAGAACUAAAAGAACUUCUGAAAAAAGCAGCCAGUGGUGAAAUUAAGAUAACGCCAUGGUUUAAAAUUAUUGCAGCAACUUUUCUCUUUAAAUGGUGGGAUAACUUAAAUCAUUUGAAUCAGUUUGUUGACCAUGAGAAAAUAUACAGAAUGUGAAUAUGUAGGUAAAUGAUUACAGAAAAAUUUCUCUGCUUAACAAACUUAGAAUGACUUUUUCCUUUUAAAUUUAGUUCUAUCAUUAAAUUUAGUUCUAUCAUUUAGUACUAUCAUUAAUGUAUUAUAUACACUGAUACUUUAAAACUUGUGUGGAAAAAACUAACUUAUAAUUUUGUAUCACACACCCUGGAUAUGUGUUCUGUUUCUAAGCGACAUUUGUGAGAGAGUAUUGUAAAAUGAGAGAGAGCAAAUAAAACUUAAUUUAAUCUUUGC
This 1055-nucleotide small RNA is filed under the name Pan troglodytes (chimpanzee). Its description in RNAcentral is "processed transcript". Lineage: Eukaryota; Metazoa; Chordata; Mammalia; Primates; Hominidae. The record is from RNAcentral.